GUUCAGCCUGUGAGCUAGCCUCUAAAGGCUUUUCCCCUCCUUUUUGAUUCCAGAGCAAAACCUCUUAGAGGUCUCAUUGCUCUGGGCAAAAGGAACAACCUGUACAACGUGAAUUGAAGACCAUCAAGAAGCCUUUCAGUCCCGUUGACAUCUGGAAGCAAAGGUAAAGACGGAAGAGAUGCUUGCAAGAUAAAGAGGAAUAUGAGAUCAGAUUUGCCCUUCCAAGACUGGAGUUUUGUCUUUGACCUUGAGGAGAGUAGAUCCAAUUUGUCCUGUAGCUUCUGGGAGACCAUUGGAGGGGAGAGCAUAGGACAGAAUGGAGAAAAUGAGCGUCAAGGUGAGCUACUUCAGAGUUCUAGGAGGAUGAACCAGUGCUAGAUGAUCUACAGCAGAGGUCUGGCUGGGAACAUAUCCACCCAAAUCCACAAUUUUGCAUCACCCACAACUCUUCAAAAAUGCAAAAAUUCAAAUGAUUUUAUUCAAAAAGAAGAAUGUGAUACCUUGUCAAUCCUGUGGCUUCUCAAAAGAGCAGGGGAUGGAAAUGGUCGUUUCUUCUUAUACAGAUGCCCUGUCCUGGUGUAAACUAAAGUAAAAAAUCAACCAGUAAUGAGGAUUAAUGAAUUUCCUUUUAAAUUCCUCCUAGCUAACAUCAGUGAAAAUGAAUUAACCUUUGAGCCCUUUAAUGUAGCAAAUUCGGAUUUUAGUUCAAAUUCAGAACUUUCUAAACUUUCUAAACUUUAGUUCAAAUUCAGAACUUUCUAAACUUUGGGUAAGAUAGUCCACAAGACUGCCUUUCUUUCAGCUCCCUUAUUCCCAUGGAACUGAUCUACCACUUACAGUGCUCUUCUCCCUUAGAUGCCCUGCUCAGACCCAGCUAAAUGCUCAACAGUAAGCUUUCUGCUUAUAGUGAAGCCCAAUUGGCUGAUUCCUUUUGAUUUCACAACUAGAUAAGUAGCAUCUUUGCAUUCAUUGAUCCUUCCCUUCCUUUUCCUUUUCUCUUUCUCUCUCUCUUCUUCCCUCCCACAUCCAUUUACCCACAGCUGAUACAAUACUUAAAUGCAAAAAUGUUUUGGUAGGUAGCUCCAUUCCUACCUAACAGUUUUUUCUUCUUUUUGGUUAAUCAAAGUUCUUUUAUUUCCAUAUUUGGCAUUUGAGCAGAUUAGAAGUGAUAAAUUCCCCAUCUUUCUGACUAAACACAGUCUUUAUUGGCAUACAACAACAAAAUUGUCAUACAACACAGGUGUAUACAAGAAGAGGAAGUCACAAAAGAAAAGAAAACAUACUUAAAAGUUACUAAUCUCAAGGAUAAAAUUUGCAACAGUCUCACAAAAUAAAGCAUCAGAGUUGUUCAGUAGAUACAGAAUUUUAUAACACCUUUACCAUUGAGAACACUGUGAAAAAAUCAAUUCCUGUAUUUCAUCUGUACAUUAUAAGAUCUGGGGCAAACAAACAAAGAAUGGUGAAGUGUAGUUCGAAAUUUGAAUAUGGAGUCUAGGGAAUAGAGUAUUCCUAGAGUAUCCUGAUCAAAGGUGAUUAGGUGUGAUGGUUCUGGGGUGUAGUUUGACCCAUCAUCCUUAGAAUGUCCGUGAGAGCAAAGUAGGUUCAUUCAGGGAUCAUGGAUGUCAAGAAUUGGCACAGGUUUAAAAUUAAAAUUACAUUAAUUGUCUGAUGCAAGGGUCUUUAAAAACCCAGAAUGGAAAGACCCCAUAAGAUUGUAGAUUUAUUUUUAUUUUUUUGCCUUCAUUAUCAAGUCAGGGAUUGUUGGGCUGGUAAAACAUAGCUGAAAACACUUAUAACAAAAUAGGAAAAUAGCAGUUUCAUAGAGGUCACAGGGGAGCAGCUGAUUUUUAAGAACUAUUUGAGGUUCAGCUUCGCUCUUGAUAUUGAUCCCCAAUAGGAAAUUUGACUAUUCAGAGAGUAAACAUCGAUCACAACUUUGAAUAGUUGUGGAAUCAGACCAUAUGCCAUCUUACUGUUUCCUUCCCUUCCUAUGUCAACAAUGAGAACAAUGGUAGCAAAACAUUCAAGAAAACUCUCAGGAAAAGAAAAUUUGGCUAGAAAAGAGCUUGCUUUUGUUAAAAUGAAUGAAAGAUAAUGACUACGUUGAUGAUGAUGAUUGUUUAUCUCUGGGUUUUGAUCUUCAACAAAAGAAUACUGCAGCUUAGAAUCUAGCCUCUUUGCCCUCAGUCAUACUCUGCCUAUGCUUUUCCUUCUCUAUCCUGGGGCACUGAAGACUGGAAACUCCAACCGGAAAAUAUCUAAAGUUUUGGAUAGUAUGAGGGUAUUUUUGAACAGAUACAGUGGUGAGUGUCCCUACAUGAGGAAUGCAAAUAGGCAAAACAAACUCAUGGAAAAUACUCAACUUAUGCUCAUUUUUAAAAAGCUUUCAAAAAGAACACAUGAUAUUAUGUAUAGUAAUGAAAUUAUGCUGGCAGCUAUCACACUACAAAUAAGAUAAAAAAUAAAGUUGAAUUUUGAUGCCUUAAUUUGAUUUAUUGCAAUUUGAUCAUCCAUUCUCAAUAUUCUUGGCAUGGUCACUGUCAAGCCCUCAAGACAAUUUACAUAGUAAGAUAAGGUAGUUUAUUGAAAUAUUAGCUAAUAUCCAAAUGUACUUCUAUAGAGAGAAAACCUGGUUUAGGAUAUCCCAAAAUAUUGUUUUCUUAGCAUAAGCUCUGUUCAGGUACGAUCAAUAUGGAAAUGGUAAUUAUGUGAAAAAAGAAGGUGUACUAGUUUUACUUUCUCAUUCUCAGUGUCCUUAUCUUCUAUGCACAUAGGGUAAUCUUCUGAAGAGGAACCGCCUUUGUCCAAGGAAGCUCUUCAUAUGAUUUGGAUCCCAGUGUUUCACACAUAGAAAGUGCAAGAAGAGUUGAGAUAGCAUUCUUCCCUACUUACAUGUUUACAGUUUUUAUACAGCUAAUGUUUGAAUAAGGGAACAUUUGUAGUAAAUCCUCUACUUAAGGCAAAAGUGAUGGGAAUGCCAUUCCUUAUGACAUGGGACAUCAGGUAGCUUACUAUUCAUUUUAAGGGCUUAGUCAGACCAAUUUACCAGAUCAAGCAAUCACUGAACAAACAGCCACUGACAUUCCUAGCAUUUGGAUAUGAUCUCAGCAAAAGUACGACUGUUUUAAUUCACAAUUGAUAACUGUUUGCCUGCCAGCCCCCGAAAUAAUGAGACAACACAAGUGAAAUGGGUUAAAAUAUGGGCAACUUUAUUAAUUGUUACCUAUUUAACUAUUUAAUGGCACACCAUGCAGUCAUGCCAGUGACAUGACCUUGGAGGUGUCUACAGACAACGCCGGCUCUUCGGCUUAGAAAUGGAGAUGAGCACCAACCCCCAGAGUCAGACAUGACUGGACUUAACGUCAGGGGAAACCUUUACCUUUUAUUUAACUCUGAAACUGAAUGUAACUCUAUUCUGGCAGAGAAUCUGGUGGAAAACCCAGCCGAGGUAGCGUCCUUACCCGGCCUACCCCAUGGCUGGUAAAAAGUAAAGGUAAAGGUUUCCCCUGAUGUUAAGUCUAGUUGUGUCCGACUCUGGGGGUUGGUACUCAUCUCC
This is a long non-coding RNA of Anolis carolinensis (green anole), 3556 nucleotides long. RefSeq lists it as uncharacterized. The transcript has 4 exons. The record is from RefSeq and is a predicted model, not a curated record. Lineage: Eukaryota; Metazoa; Chordata; Lepidosauria; Squamata; Anolidae.